This 1257-nucleotide long non-coding RNA is filed under the name Mus caroli (Ryukyu mouse). RNAcentral describes it as "predicted gene 20621 (MGP_CAROLIEiJ_G0034642.1)". The record is from RNAcentral. Lineage: Eukaryota; Metazoa; Chordata; Mammalia; Rodentia; Muridae.
CUCAGAAUGCGACCAGUGUAGACAGUAAACCGGUGUGGUCCUUGAGUUCACACUCACCAGGGCAGAAAGGACUGGCGCAGGAGACAUAGUUUUCCACUGUUGACACGGUUCAGAACAAGGCUUCCGUGUGAUCUCCAAGCGCCGUGCCUAGUUUGCUGUGGCUUCCGCCCGCCCCGCCCUGGCCCUGCAAGCUUCUCCCUGCGCCUUGAUACCGCAGGGCGCCUUCUGCUGCUGCUGGGGCGGUGGGCGGCCAGGCAGCUGGAGGAGCCCACGACGAGGACCAGGAUGAGAAUGAAGACGGGACCGAGACGCCCCCAGAUCAUGGCGUCUCUGCGGGAACCGACACAUAGACGAAGGACCUUGUAUACAGAGCUAUUUUACAGAAAUUGCGAGUGGCAGUAUGGUAUUUCUUGUGGAGCCUCACCCUCUCCUGCGCCCGCACCCCGUCCUCCUCCUUAGUCCCUGGGCAGACAUUCAUAAGCCCGUUACCGCUAACCCCACGGUGACUCUAGCCAAAAAACAAACAAACAAACAAACAAAAAACAGAGGGGAGACCCUUCUCUGGCACCUAUAACAAUCUCUCCUCUCUGAGGGUCGCCCCUUUGCUGCUGGGUGUCUCCCACUUGGGAGAGUCCCUAGCAGGACACUCAUUCAUUUAUUCAACAAGCCUGGCUGUGUAGGUCCCCAUGCUUUGCACUCAAGUAUGGGUGCUAGGUAAGGGGAUAGGAACAGGAUGCCCACCUUUGGGGUAGAUCCCUCAGAUUCUAUUACAGUACGAUUUUGGAGCCCUCUGGUGUUUAAGAAACCAGACAGUCCCUGGACACCCAAGAAUGGGAAAAGCCCCAAGUCCUCCCUGUACUCAGGCUGGGGUCCCUAAGCUAAGGGGGUCCUGACAGAGAACAGAGCCAGCUCUUAGGGACACUGGAGGUUUGCUAGUGUGUGAAUGUGUACCCCAAAAGUUCAUGUCUUGGAAAUUUGUCCCCGGCACAGCAGCACUGAGAGAGGAGCGCUCUGCCAGGGCCUUUGUGGACUGGUUUAAUCCUUUCAAGGAUUAAGUUAGUUGUCUUGAGUAUAGCUUUGUUAUAAAGGCGAGUUCCCUUGGGUAUGCUUGUUCAGUCUGCAUGUGAUACCUCCACGUGUCAUGGAAUAGCACAAAGCCAUCAGACACAGCAAACACCAGGCAUUAGGUGCUAGCCCCAUUCUCUCAAACUUUCCUGCCUCCAGAACCAUGAGCUAAAUAAAACUCUGUUCUCUCUA